RNAcentral lists this ribosomal RNA (601 nucleotides) under uncultured bacterium. RNAcentral describes it as "bacterial SSU rRNA". It matches the Rfam family "Bacterial small subunit ribosomal RNA", at positions 338 to 951 of the family's 1533-position model. The record is from RNAcentral.
CCUACGGGAGGCAGCAGUGGGGAAUAUUGCACAAUGGGCGAAAGCCUGAUGCAGCGACGCCGCGUGAGGGAUGACGGCCUUCGGGUUGUAAACCUCUUUCAGCAGGGAAGAAGCGAAAGUGACGGUACCUGCAGAAGAAGCGCCGGCUAACUACGUGCCAGCAGCCGCGGUAAUACGUAGGGCGCAAGCGUUGUCCGGAAUUAUUGGGCGUAAAGAGCUCGUAGGCGGUUUGUCACGUCGGGUGUGAAAGCCCGGGGCUUAACCCCGGGUCUGCAUUCGAUACGGGCAGACUAGAGUGUGGUAGGGGAGAUCGGAAUUCCUGGUGUAGCGGUGAAAUGCGCAGAUAUCAGGAGGAACACCGGUGGCGAAGGCGGAUCUCUGGGCCAUUACUGACGCUGAGGAGCGAAAGCGUGGGGAGCGAACAGGAUUAGAUACCCUGGUAGUCCACGCCGUAAACGUUGGGAACUAGGUGUUGGCGACAUUCCACGUCGUCGGUGCCGCAGCUAACGCAUUAAGUUCCCGCCUGGGGAGUACGGCCGCAAGGCUAAACUUAAAGGAAUUGACGGCGUGNGAGUUGCGACGACGACGACGAGGGAGGAGG